GACAAACGCUGGCGGCGUGCCUAAUACAUGCAGGUAGAACGCACAGUUUAUACCGUAGCUUGCUACACCAUAGACUGUGAGUUGCGAACGGGUGAGUAACGCGUAGGUAACCUGCCUGGUAGCGGGGGAUAACUAUUGGAAACGAUAGCUAAUACCGCAUAAUAUUAAUUAUUGCAUGAUAAUUAAUUGAAAGGUGCAAUUGCACCACUACCAGAUGGACCUGCGUUGUAUUAGCUAGUAGGUGAGGUAACGGCUCACCUAGGCGACGAUACAUAGCCGACCUGAGAGGGUGAUCGGCCACACUGGGACUGAGACACGGCCCAGACUCCUACGGGAGGCAGCAGUAGGGAAUCUUCGGCAAUGGACGAAAGUCUGACCGAGCAACGCCGCGUGAGUGAAGAAGGUUUUCGGAUCGUAAAGCUCUGUUGUAAGAGAAGAACGGGUGUGAGAGUGGAAAGUUCACACUGUGACGGUAUCUUACCAGAAAGGGACGGCUAACUACGUG
This 505-nucleotide ribosomal RNA is filed under the name uncultured bacterium. Its description in RNAcentral is "partial 16S ribosomal RNA". It matches the Rfam family "Bacterial small subunit ribosomal RNA", at positions 28 to 507 of the family's 1533-position model. The record is from RNAcentral.